CUGUGGGGCUCGGGAUACUGGAGUCCCAUCAGCUCCAGAACAGGAGAAAGGCACAACAAGCUUAUGGCUGCCUGUGAGGGGAAGCACUGACCUGCUCCCUUGUGUGGAUUACAGAAAUUUUCCCCAGUUUCCCAGCCCAUAUGGAGGUUUUCAGCCUGCAAGUGUUCCUACUGACAGCCCCAAAGGCACCACAGACCCACAGAGAGAAAUUACAGUUCUCUGCUCUUUUGUCUUAUGAUUUGUCUCUUUUUCUUGCUGACUUGUUCUCAUCAGGAAGGCUUUUUUCACCAUAGUUCUGAAAGGUGAUCUUUCUUCAUGCAGGAAGAGCAAAGGGUCAAAUCCUUGCCUUAUUGUUGUUUUCCUCCCUGUACGUUGGAUGUGUUUGCUGGCUCCUAUUCCAGAGUUGUGAUUGGCAUCAAAGCUGGCAGUGACAAUUGUCUCUACCGAUCUCUAGACUUCAUUAAAUUAGGUAGUUAACAUUCAGAAAAAGCUUUGCUAGUUUCUGCCAAAGUGAAUUUCCUUGAUUUCCACUCCAGCCUUCCCCCCACUGCCUGGCUCCGCUGUGGUUUUCUGAGCUGACAUAGAACAGCAAUGGAUUUUUUUUACUGAAUUUCCUACAGGUCACCUUCCAGCUCUGAGCUGGUGAAGAAGAUGGAGGAGGGGUGCAGAAGGCAGGUGGAACUGGAGACCCUGCAGAUUCAGUGGUCUUCAAUCCAGUCUUCAGGCUGCCGAGCUCCUCCUUUUGUACAGUCUUUUUCCAGAGGCACAUCUCUGAUUUAUUCAGCUUGACAAAAUCCUAAGCCUGCAGUCUCCUUGUCCUCCUGUUAAAUGGCUUGCAUGCGUCUCCAUCCUCACCAUGCCUUCUCAGAGAGCACCGGUGUUGCGCAUCUUUGCAUUCCUCUGAGGUGCAUUUGGUCUUCCUUCUCUGCAGCUCCUCCCCUUCCCUUUUUCCUGACACAGAUUCAAGUUUAAAAAAAAAACAUAUUCCUUUUCUAAGCCAGCACUGUGCACAAAUAGCUCUCUGCUCUUCUUCACAUGCCACCACUUUCCUCCAAAACCUGUCACUCUCAUCUGGCUGCUUAACUGUGUAAUGAUACGAAACGUUCACUCUAAUGAGCCCCUGCUGUGGAUACCAUCUGAUCCUGCCUUGCUUUCAUGCUUUCUGACUCUGACCUCACUAAAUGUCUUACAUAGGCUUUCCUUCUCCCAAAUUUCAAACUGCUUCUUGAACCUACACCAUACUUGCGUGUGUACAGAUCAUACAACAUUCAUCUUUUCUGCUAAUGUUUUCAGAAGGAACAAGGACUAUCUUGAUGGGAAUUUUCAGCAAAUACCACGUGAUACAUCUCGGACAGCUGCCAUGGAAACUUCAUCCUGAAGUUUUGCAAAGUAGAUGAAAAUAAGAUUUUGUAAUGAAAAAUGUCAGGGAGCCUAAAUAGCAGACUGUUCCUUGGUGGUUAGUCCGUUGGCAAUUGGAAAGCACGGAGCUGCCAGCCCUUCAUCCUCAUGCACAGAGAUCAGUGUAUGUGGGACGAACAACCUGAUUAAAUGAAUAUGAUUUAAGUUUUUAAAGGGAAUCCAGAAGAACUGUCCUACUUGUGGCUUUAGAUGCUGAACUUCUAAAUAAUACCUCUGUUUUCUAUAGCUUUGUGAUGCACCUAUACAAACUGAUUGAAGGAUGAAAUGACAGCUGUGGUGCCUGGAGAUCGCUGCAUUCAUGCUUUGCUUUACUCAGGGUGGAAAGGCAGCAAGGUUGGAAAGAGCCAGUUGCAGAAGAUGCUUUUCUGACAUGGUGGUUUGUUUGAUGGGCCUGAUCUAGAGCUAUCUGGCUUAGUUAAGAUCUGAGAAACGACAGCCUUCUGUCCCUUCCCCAUAUAUCUGUGUUUGCAUUCAAAUGGUGAGUUGAAAUAUUGGAAUAUGUCUUCUUUUUUUUUUUUUUUUUUUUUAAUUUUCCUUUGGGAUAUGAUAAAUUUUGCAAUUGCCAGAAUAAAUACAGAUUUAUCUCAA
This is a non-coding RNA of Coturnix japonica (Japanese quail), 2007 nucleotides long. The record is from RefSeq and is a predicted model, not a curated record. Lineage: Eukaryota; Metazoa; Chordata; Aves; Galliformes; Phasianidae.